AAUCAACGCUGGCGGCGUGCCUCAGACAUGCAAGUCGAACGCGAAAGUUUCCUUCGGGGAACAAGUAGAGUGGCGCACGGGUGAGUAACACGUAGGUAAUCUACCUUUGGAUGGGGAAUAACAACCGGAAACGGUUGCUAAUACCGCAUAAUGCAGCGGCACCUAAUGGUGACAGUUGUUAAAGCGGGGGAUCGAAAGACCUCGCGUCUGAAGAGGAGCCUGCGGCGGAUUAGCAGUUGGUAAGGUAAUGGCUUACCAAGGCUACGAUCUGUAACCGGCCUGAGAGGGCGGACGGUCACACUGACACUGAAUAACGGGUCAGACUCCUACGGGAGGCAGCAGUCGGGAAUUUGGGCAAUGGGCGAAAGCCUGACCCAGCAACGCCGCGUGAAGGAU
Molecule: ribosomal RNA, 396 nt
Filed under: uncultured bacterium
Lineage: Bacteria
Description: bacterial SSU rRNA
Rfam family: Bacterial small subunit ribosomal RNA
Source: RNAcentral